RNAcentral lists this ribosomal RNA (497 nucleotides) under uncultured bacterium. Its description in RNAcentral is "partial 16S ribosomal RNA". It matches the Rfam family "Bacterial small subunit ribosomal RNA", at positions 28 to 507 of the family's 1533-position model. The record is from RNAcentral.
GAUGAACGCUGGCGGCGUGCCUAAUACAUGCAAGUCGAGCGAACGGACGAGAAGCUUGCUUCUCUGAUGUUAGCGGCGGACGGGUGAGUAACACGUGGAUAACCUACCUAUAAGACUGGGAUAACUUCGGGAAACCGGAGCUAAUACCGGAUAAUAUUUUGAACCGCAUGGUUCAAAAGUGAAAGACGGUCUUGCUGUCACUUAUAGAUGGAUCCGCGCUGCAUUAGCUAGUCGGUAAGGUAACGGCUUACCAAGGCAACGAUGCAUAGCCGACCUGAGAGGGUGAUCGGCCACACUGGAACUGAGACACGGUCCAGACUCCUACGGGAGGCAGCAGUAGGGAAUCUUCCGCAAUGGGCGAAAGCCUGACGGAGCAACGCCGCGUGAGUGAUGAAGGUCUUCGGAUCGUAAAACUCUGUUAUUAGGGAAGAACAUAUGUGUAAGUAACUGUGCACAUCUUGACGGUACCUAAUCAGAAAGCCACGGCUAACUACGUG